Molecule: ribosomal RNA, 496 nt
Filed under: uncultured bacterium
Lineage: Bacteria
Description: bacterial SSU rRNA
Rfam family: Bacterial small subunit ribosomal RNA
Source: RNAcentral
GACUAAUAAUCAUGGUUCAUGACGGUAUCAACAGAAGAAGCACCGGCUAACUACGUGCCAGCAGCCGCGGUAAUACGUAGGGUGCAAGCGUUAAUCGGAAUUACGUGGGCGUAAAGGGUGCGCAGGCGGUUCUGUAAGUCAGAUGUGAAAUCCCCGGGCUUAACCUGGGAACUGCGUUUGAAACUGCAGAGCUAGAGUGCGGCAGAGGGAGGUGGAAUUCCAUGUGUAGCAGUGAAAUGCGUAGAGAUAUGGAAGAACAUCGAUGGCGAAGGCAACCUCCUGGGCUAGCACUGACGCUCAUGCACGAAAGCGUGGGGAGCAAACAGGAUUAGAUACCCUGGUAGUCCACGCCCUAAACUAUGUCAACUAGUUGUCGGGCCUUAAUAGGCUUGGUAACGUAGCUAACGCGUGAAGUUGACCGCCUGGGGAGUACGGUCGCAAGAUUAAAAACUCAAAGGAAUUGACGGGGACCCGCACAAGCGGUGGAUUAUGUGGA